Molecule: non-coding RNA, 2409 nt
Organism: Plectropomus leopardus (leopard coralgrouper)
Lineage: Eukaryota; Metazoa; Chordata; Actinopteri; Perciformes; Serranidae
Source: RefSeq, a predicted model, not a curated record
CCUUGGAAGAGCGCUGCUGCUUGCAGUGUGACGGAGAACAAAGCCUUCUUAAAGCCUUGAUCCUCUCUCUGUGUGCAGGCUGGCUUCGGCUACGGUCUGCCCAUCUCACGUCUGUACGCCAAGUACUUCCAGGGGGACCUGCAGCUCUACUCCAUGGAGGGCCACGGCACAGACGCUGUCAUCUACUUGAAGGCGCUGUCCACAGACUCCAUCGAGAGGCUGCCAGUGUACAAUAAAACCGCUCUGAGGAACUACAAAGUGAGCCAAGAGGCCGACGACUGGUGUAUACCCAGCAAAGAACCCCUAGAUCUCAGCGUCUAUAAGGUUCCCAAGUGAAAAUGUUUUCAAGGCCUCCAGGUGCUUCAAGUCUUCAAAUUUCUGUGUUCAUAUUCCCAUGUCACCAUCUGUCAAGGCAGAUGUGGGCGUCAAAUCUUUUUCUACCGAGAGGUUUCAUCUCCAGACUAAAGCCCUCUUCUAUUUUAGUUUGGUUUUAGCAGUAGCAUGUUGCUUUCAGUCCCCGCGGCCUUUGGGGUUCUUCAUAGGAAAAUAGAAAACGGCUGCUAACAGAGAAGACUGUGGAAGUGCAGCUCCAAAUGUUGCGUCAUGAGUCGUGCAGGUAGAGAUGGAGGAAGCACCCAGCAUGUCAUGGGUGUUGGGUUUAAAAAGUGUGUGGUGUUAUAAAAAGUGGGAAAAGUAAACAAGGGUUUAAAUUAGGGCUGUCAGUGCUGACGCGUUAGUCACAAUGCAAUUAAAGUUCGUUCAUAAUGUGCUAUUUAUUGUUAAUUACCGGCAAUCUCAGCUGACAGUCCUGUCUUCAAGAGGCUGUAAUGGGCUGAGUUUUUAAGCUAGAGCAAUGAUACUCGUAUGAGUGAAACUAGAAGACAUACUGAAUCCAGCGGUACCGACCAUGUCAUUCUAGCAUCUGCAGGGGGUGCAAAAUAAUGCUCCAAAUUUUGGCCAAAUUGUGACGAUGGAAAAACAGCAUGGCCUCUUCUAGAUAUAUCUGAAUGAAAAUGUUUACUGUGGGUAUCCAUGAGCUGCCACUUUUCAGACAUGCCCACUUUAUGCCCGCCCCAUGCAGUUUGGGCAAAAACCAUGCAGUUUUUUGCAUGUAGUAUAAAUGUGUAAUUUUCGCCUGUUGUAUUUGAAUAUUGCUAAAGACAAGACUAAACAGUCUUGAAAUUGCUGCCACCUACGAGCUAAGCUCACAGGUGCAGCUCAUCAGACUGAUGGCAACCACGUCACCAAAGACAGCAAAGCACUUUUUUGGAGCGUACGAAUUGCCAAAGACCUGGUUGGCAACUCACUGCAGACCAGUCGUCCUCAGGUUGGCAUCUUGUGACAAGUCACAUGACUCGCAUACAGGACCUGUAUGAUUUAGAGAAAACAACUAAACUGGAACUCCUGAAAAGUGCAAAGCAAAUUUCUUUGCAUUCAUUAGAUUUCCACUCAAGACAAUCUAGUAAGAAUUACUUUAUCUUGUCAAUAUGGACUUAAAACUGUUUUCAAAUGCAAAGCAAUGGAAUUGUAAACAUGCGAUAUUGCAGUUUUUUAAAAUUAAUCAUUUGACAGCCCUAGUUUAGAUAUUCCAGUUUAAGUCACCACACAUGCAGUGAGGUAACCAGUGCAGAUGUUUGAGGAAGUAUUCAGUUGAACAAUUGUUGAACAAUUGUAGAACGUGUCACCCAAGCCUUACAGUAGCAACUUCACCCAAAGGCUCAUUUCAUCGAAAUACUUGAAGUAUCUGAAAAAAAAAAAUGUUGCACCUUGUUAAAUUUUAAAGUACUGUAAAGCUGUCGGAUGUGUAGAUUUGAACAAACGUAUGAUUUUUAAAUUGGUUGUUGUGUUUUCUGCAUGGAUGUCCGUUUUGAUAUUUCAGCCCUUAAAGGUUUAAUCACAGUAUUCAUGUCGACUAAUAAGAUACGGUGUUAUCUUAACAUCAGUCGUCUGGACCAGGCUGAAUGUAAUCCACUCGCUUCUGUGAAUUAAUUACAGAGACAAAGAGCGUUACAUGAAAGAACCUACAGCACUAUAGGGCCCAAGUUCUCUCUGAUACACCAGGUUUCAAGGCCAGCCAACAAGGGAUCCGCAUCGCUUUUUAUUGGAGGUUUAAUGCUUUUAGAGUUCAAUAGAGGCUCGUGUUAUUAAACUCUACAGAGCCGUGCAUCUCAUGUCUUUGAUCCAGUAAAACAAGGCCAGUCUCAGAUUGUUCAUCACACUGUGCCAUAUGAGGAAAAAAUGUACCAGGUCCAUAUGUGUUUAAAAAUGCACAGUUUUCUUUUGUAUUAAAUCGAUCUAAAUCAUGUAGUGAGUUAGAGGUUAUUUUUAUAGCUACAUUUUUUUGCGACUUAAAUGAUUGUACAUAGUGUGAAUACGAUCCAAAUAAUAAAGAACAACUUAAGUACAAAA